UGGGGAAUUUUGGACAAUGGGCGAAAGCCUGAUCCAGCAAUGCCGCGUGUGUGAAGAAGGCCUUCGGGUUGUAAAGCACUUUUGUCCGGAAAGAAAUCCUUGGCUCUAAUACAGUCGGGGGAUGACGGUACCGGAAGAAUAAGCACCGGCUAACUACGUGCCAGCAGCCGCGGUAAUACGUAGGGUGCAAGCGUUAAUCGGAAUUACUGGGCGUAAAGCGUGCGCAGGCGGUUUGCUAAGACCGAUGUGAAAUCCCCGGGCUCAACCUGGGAACUGCAUUGGUGACUGGCAGGCUAGAGUAUGGCAGAGGGGGGUAGAAUUCCACGUGUAGCAGUGAAAUGCGUAGAGAUGUGGAGGAAUACCGAUGGCGAAGGCAGCCCCCUGGGCCAAUACUGACGCUCAUGCACGAAAGCGUGGGGAGCAAACAGGAUUAGAUACCCUGGUAGUCCACGCCUAACGAUGUCGACUAGUUGUUGGGGAUUGCAUUUCCUUCAGUAACGUAGCUAACGCGUGAAGUUGACCGCCUGGGGGAGUACGGUCGCAAGAUUAAAACUCAAA
This 558-nucleotide ribosomal RNA is filed under the name uncultured bacterium. RNAcentral's name for it is "partial 16S ribosomal RNA". It matches the Rfam family "Bacterial small subunit ribosomal RNA", at positions 355 to 905 of the family's 1533-position model. The record is from RNAcentral.